This 331-nucleotide long non-coding RNA is filed under the name Chlamydomonas reinhardtii. Its description in RNAcentral is "long non-coding RNA (CREI_LNC001022)". Lineage: Eukaryota; Viridiplantae; Chlorophyta; Chlorophyceae; Chlamydomonadales; Chlamydomonadaceae. The record is from RNAcentral.
CGGUGCUCCCACACCAUCCACUCCCAUCCGUACAUCUCCCGCACUCCACUCUGCAGCGCACGGCGGGGGUCUCUCAUGCCUCACGAACACCUCAUUACUACGCACACCUCAUCACACGUCCAGGUCAGCCGCCACCACCACACUGCUGCCGCCGCCGUCCGCGCCACCUCCACCGCUCACAGGCGGCAGGCUGCUGGAGUCAGCCAGGAUGCGCACACGGCCGCCGUUGCUCUGCUCCCGGGCGGCGCGCGCGUUCAUGCUCGAGCUGCUGGCCAGCACCUGCUGCUGCUGGCUUGCCAAGGAGUGUGUGGCGCCGCCCUUCAACACUCCG